Molecule: ribosomal RNA, 532 nt
Filed under: Leuconostoc lactis
Lineage: Bacteria; Bacillati; Bacillota; Bacilli; Lactobacillales; Lactobacillaceae
Description: bacterial SSU rRNA
Rfam family: Bacterial small subunit ribosomal RNA
Source: RNAcentral
GGGCGAAGCCUGAUGGAGCACGCCGCGUGUGUGAUGAAGGCUUUAGGGUCGUAAAGCACUGUUGUAUGGGAAGAAAUACUAGAAUAGGGAAUGAUUCUAGUUCGACGGUACCAUACCAGAAAGGGACGGCUAAAUACGUGCCAGCAGCCGCGGUAAUACGUAUGUCCCGAGCGUUAUCCGGAUUUAUUGGGCGUAAAGCGAGCGCAGACGGUUGAUUAAGUCUGAUGUGAAAGCCCGGAGCUCAACUCCGGAAUGGCAUUGGAAACUGGUUAACUUGAGUGUUGUAGAGGUAAGUGGAACUCCAUGUGUAGCGGUGGAAUGCGUAGAUAUAUGGAAGAACACCAGUGGCGAAGGCGGCUUACUGGACAACAACUGACGUUGAGGCUCGAAAGUGUGGGUAGCAAACAGGAUUAGAUACCCUGGUAGUCCACACCGUAAACGAUGAAUACUAGGUGUUAGGAGGUUUCCGCCUCUUAGUGCCGAAGCUAACGCAUUAAGUAUUCCGCCUGGGGAGUACGACCGCAAGGUUGAA